Molecule: non-coding RNA, 1566 nt
Organism: Pocillopora verrucosa
Lineage: Eukaryota; Metazoa; Cnidaria; Anthozoa; Scleractinia; Pocilloporidae
Source: RefSeq, a predicted model, not a curated record
AGGAAGAAGUUGUGCCCAGGAAAUUAAAAAAGUUUGCCUAACAGACAGACAAUGUAGCUUCUAAAGAGGUCCAGCAUGUUAAAGAGAGUACCUUAGGAAAUGUACAUGUAUAUCAGUCAAACCUAAAGGGAAAAAAAAAAACUUCUGCACCUGAUUUCUUUGGUCCUACUCCAGUUGAAAGGGAAUCCAGGAAAACAUUUGCUAAUGAAAGAAAACAGAUCUGACAAGUCUGAAGAAAAUGAAGAUUCCAGAGUGAAUAGAAAAGAAGAGUAUAAAAAUGGGAGAGAAAAAGAAGGAAGAGAAAAUGGGAAUGUCAACCAUCAAACAACAGAGCAACCAUCAAAGAAAAGAAAGGAAGACUUCUCAGAAUCAAAGUAUGAGGUUAAAAAGCCUUCCCCUGAGAAGAAAAAGAGAGCGGAAAACUGUUCGGAUGAACUGACAGUUGUUAUUAAGGGAAUCUUGGAAAGUAUUGAGAGAGUCAGGAGGCUGCUGAUUUGAUUCAAAGAUGUGGUGAAAAAGUUACCCAAUCAGCAAGCAAGAAAACAAGUUAUGUCAUGGUGGGACAGGAUCCUGGAGAGAGCAAACUUUCUAAGGAGAACCAAGUGUGUUAUGGGUAGACAAAUAUUGGCCUCGUGCAGUGAAGCAGAUUAUUGGUCAGCAGGGUGAUAAGAGCAACAUGAGAAAGCGGAUAAACUGGCUGAGAGACUGGGGAAAAAAUUGAAAGAACUCAGCCUCUAAAUACUGAAAUUUCCCAAUUUUCGAGAAUUCCACGUUAUUCAGUCGAACAAAGAGAAAGGAGAGGAAGGACGUGCUCAAGCUCUGAGAGAUCUCAUGGCCACAAAAUAUCAGCCUGGAGAUUCUUCAUCGCACAGCGUGCGUUUCUCUGAAUUGUGUUCCAUUGAGCACAGCUUUCAUAGUUAUUAAUGAAGCAUGCGUUUACUUCUGGGUUUGCUUCAGUGAAGAUAAUAUCUAGAUGAGAGAGGUACACGUCAACAAUUACAAGUAUGAGGAUGAAUCGGAAUUUUUCAUCCAGCUACUGAACAAAACUGCUCUUCAGGAGAUCGGUGCAAGAGAUACUGUUACAAUCGAAAAUCCUCCGCUUGAUUCGCCGACAGAAGAGGAAAUGGCCAAUGAUGUGAUCCGAGUCGAUGUGAGGCACUCCCAAUCAAGCGCUCUAAAGAAGCUGCAUGACGUCAUCGUUUCUCCUAUUGCUGAUCUGACCGAAGGCAAGGAGCUAACAUUCCUUCCUGAGAGGCCACUUUGCCUUGUAUCUUUUGCAGCGUUGCAGGACUCGGACUCAUCGUAUCUAAGUGAUUCUUUCAGAAUUCGUGUGCUUCCCUCUCUGACUACGUUUCAACUAAUUCAUGAUUGUCCAGCUGACUUUCACAUGAAGACUGGUGCAUUGCUUGUCGGCGACCCAUGCUUCAAAGGUAUCAUCUAUCAGGGAAGACGUUUGGUGAAACUUCCAGGAGCAAGGAAAGAAGUGGAGAUGAUCGGACGUAUCCUUAAAUGUACUCAUUGGUGACGACGUCAACCUGGAUUUCAAGGAUAUUAAGAGGCUGAAGC